CCACCAGGAUGAUGCUGUGCGGGGUGCUGACGUUGAUACUCAGCUGGGCGUCGCUCGGAGCCGAAUUGGCCGCCGCUGUGGGCACGAGUGACUUCUGCGUGGCGCCUGACAAGUUCAUCAUGAGUCAAAUCAAAGGCGUCAUCGGCACAGAUAUCGUUCAUUACUAUGUUUACUGCAACCAGACGUUGACCAACCCUUACCAGCAGGUACGCAUCAUGGUCAAAUAAUUAGGUCGAGCUACCAAUAUAAGGCAAUGUGUUCAUUGGAUUGAGCAGGUGGACCUAAUGUAGUGGCCUAGUUGACUUUAAAACGUACACCGAACUCUCGUGUGAGCAAAGUUCAGAUCUUACGGGAGAUCGCUGA
Hippocampus comes (tiger tail seahorse) is the source of this 363-nucleotide long non-coding RNA. RefSeq lists it as uncharacterized. The record is from RefSeq and is a predicted model, not a curated record. Lineage: Eukaryota; Metazoa; Chordata; Actinopteri; Syngnathiformes; Syngnathidae. The transcript has 3 exons.